RNAcentral lists this ribosomal RNA (2904 nucleotides) under Escherichia coli. Its description in RNAcentral is "23S ribosomal RNA". It matches the Rfam family "Bacterial large subunit ribosomal RNA". The record is from RNAcentral. Lineage: Bacteria; Pseudomonadati; Pseudomonadota; Gammaproteobacteria; Enterobacterales; Enterobacteriaceae.
GGUUAAGCGACUAAGCGUACACGGUGGAUGCCCUGGCAGUCAGAGGCGAUGAAGGACGUGCUAAUCUGCGAUAAGCGUCGGUAAGGUGAUAUGAACCGUUAUAACCGGCGAUUUCCGAAUGGGGAAACCCAGUGUGUUUCGACACACUAUCAUUAACUGAAUCCAUAGGUUAAUGAGGCGAACCGGGGGAACUGAAACAUCUAAGUACCCCGAGGAAAAGAAAUCAACCGAGAUUCCCCCAGUAGCGGCGAGCGAACGGGGAGCAGCCCAGAGCCUGAAUCAGUGUGUGUGUUAGUGGAAGCGUCUGGAAAGGCGCGCGAUACAGGGUGACAGCCCCGUACACAAAAAUGCACAUGCUGUGAGCUCGAUGAGUAGGGCGGGACACGUGGUAUCCUGUCUGAAUAUGGGGGGACCAUCCUCCAAGGCUAAAUACUCCUGACUGACCGAUAGUGAACCAGUACCGUGAGGGAAAGGCGAAAAGAACCCCGGCGAGGGGAGUGAAAAAGAACCUGAAACCGUGUACGUACAAGCAGUGGGAGCACGCUUAGGCGUGUGACUGCGUACCUUUUGUAUAAUGGGUCAGCGACUUAUAUUCUGUAGCAAGGUUAACCGAAUAGGGGAGCCGAAGGGAAACCGAGUCUUAACUGGGCGUUAAGUUGCAGGGUAUAGACCCGAAACCCGGUGAUCUAGCCAUGGGCAGGUUGAAGGUUGGGUAACACUAACUGGAGGACCGAACCGACUAAUGUUGAAAAAUUAGCGGAUGACUUGUGGCUGGGGGUGAAAGGCCAAUCAAACCGGGAGAUAGCUGGUUCUCCCCGAAAGCUAUUUAGGUAGCGCCUCGUGAAUUCAUCUCCGGGGGUAGAGCACUGUUUCGGCAAGGGGGUCAUCCCGACUUACCAACCCGAUGCAAACUGCGAAUACCGGAGAAUGUUAUCACGGGAGACACACGGCGGGUGCUAACGUCCGUCGUGAAGAGGGAAACAACCCAGACCGCCAGCUAAGGUCCCAAAGUCAUGGUUAAGUGGGAAACGAUGUGGGAAGGCCCAGACAGCCAGGAUGUUGGCUUAGAAGCAGCCAUCAUUUAAAGAAAGCGUAAUAGCUCACUGGUCGAGUCGGCCUGCGCGGAAGAUGUAACGGGGCUAAACCAUGCACCGAAGCUGCGGCAGCGACGCUUAUGCGUUGUUGGGUAGGGGAGCGUUCUGUAAGCCUGUGAAGGUGUGCUGUGAGGCAUGCUGGAGGUAUCAGAAGUGCGAAUGCUGACAUAAGUAACGAUAAAGCGGGUGAAAAGCCCGCUCGCCGGAAGACCAAGGGUUCCUGUCCAACGUUAAUCGGGGCAGGGUGAGUCGACCCCUAAGGCGAGGCCGAAAGGCGUAGUCGAUGGGAAACAGGUUAAUAUUCCUGUACUUGGUGUUACUGCGAAGGGGGGACGGAGAAGGCUAUGUUGGCCGGGCGACGGUUGUCCCGGUUUAAGCGUGUAGGCUGGUUUUCCAGGCAAAUCCGGAAAAUCAAGGCUGAGGCGUGAUGACGAGGCACUACGGUGCUGAAGCAACAAAUGCCCUGCUUCCAGGAAAAGCCUCUAAGCAUCAGGUAACAUCAAAUCGUACCCCAAACCGACACAGGUGGUCAGGUAGAGAAUACCAAGGCGCUUGAGAGAACUCGGGUGAAGGAACUAGGCAAAAUGGUGCCGUAACUUCGGGAGAAGGCACGCUGAUAUGUAGGUGANNNNNNNNNNNNNNGGAGCUGAAAUCAGUCGAAGAUACCAGCUGGCUGCAACUGUUUAUUAAAAACACAGCACUGUGCAAACACGAAAGUGGACGUAUACGGUGUGACGCCUGCCCGGUGCCGGAAGGUUAAUUGAUGGGGUUAGCGCAAGCGAAGCUCUUGAUCGAAGCCCCGGUAAACGGCGGCCGUAACUAUAACGGUCCUAAGGUAGCGAAAUUCCUUGUCGGGUAAGUUCCGACCUGCACGAAUGGCGUAAUGAUGGCCAGGCUGUCUCCACCCGAGACUCAGUGAAAUUGAACUCGCUGUGAAGAUGCAGUGUACCCGCGGCAAGACGGAAAGACCCCGUGAACCUUUACUAUAGCUUGACACUGAACAUUGAGCCUUGAUGUGUAGGAUAGGUGGGAGGCUUUGAAGUGUGGACGCCAGUCUGCAUGGAGCCGACCUUGAAAUACCACCCUUUAAUGUUUGAUGUUCUAACGUUGACCCGUAAUCCGGGUUGCGGACAGUGUCUGGUGGGUAGUUUGACUGGGGCGGUCUCCUCCUAAAGAGUAACGGAGGAGCACGAAGGUUGGCUAAUCCUGGUCGGACAUCAGGAGGUUAGUGCAAUGGCAUAAGCCAGCUUGACUGCGAGCGUGACGGCGCGAGCAGGUGCGAAAGCAGGUCAUAGUGAUCCGGUGGUUCUGAAUGGAAGGGCCAUCGCUCAACGGAUAAAAGGUACUCCGGGGAUAACAGGCUGAUACCGCCCAAGAGUUCAUAUCGACGGCGGUGUUUGGCACCUCGAUGUCGGCUCAUCACAUCCUGGGGCUGAAGUAGGUCCCAAGGGUAUGGCUGUUCGCCAUUUAAAGUGGUACGCGAGCUGGGUUUAGAACGUCGUGAGACAGUUCGGUCCCUAUCUGCCGUGGGCGCUGGAGAACUGAGGGGGGCUGCUCCUAGUACGAGAGGACCGGAGUGGACGCAUCACUGGUGUUCGGGUUGUCAUGCCAAUGGCACUGCCCGGUAGCUAAAUGCGGAAGAGAUAAGUGCUGAAAGCAUCUAAGCACGAAACUUGCCCCGAGAUGAGUUCUCCCUGACUCCUUGAGAGUCCUGAAGGAACGUUGAAGACGACGACGUUGAUAGGCCGGGUGUGUAAGCGCAGCGAUGCGUUGAGCUAACCGGUACUAAUGAACCGUGAGGCUUAACCUU